AGAGUUUGAUCCUGGCUCAGAUUGAACGCUGGCGGCAGGCUUAACACAUGCAAGUCGAGCGGGGAAGGGUAGCUUGCUACCUGACCUAGCGGCGGACGGGUGAGUAAUGCUUAGGAAUCUGCCUAUUAGUGGGGGACAACAUUCCGAAAGGAAUGCUAAUACCGCAUACGCCCUACGGGGGAAAGCAGGGGAUCUUCGGACCUUGCGCUAAUAGAUGAGCCUAAGUCAGAUUAGCUAGUUGGUGGGGUAAAGGCCUACCAAGGCGACGAUCUGUAGCGGGUCUGAGAGGAUGAUCCGCCACACUGGGACUGAGACACGGCCCAGACUCCUACGGGAGGCAGCAGUGGGGAAUAUUGGACAAUGGGCGAAAGCCUGAUCCAGCCAUGCCGCGUGUGUGAAGAAGGCCUUUUGGUUGUAAAGCACUUUAAGCGAGGAGGAGGCUACUUGGAUUAAUACUCUAGGAUAGUGGACGUUACUCGCAGAAUAAGCACCGGCUAACUCUGUGCCAGCAGCCGCGGUAAUACAGAGGGUGCGAGCGUUAAUCGGAUUUACUGGGCGUAAAGCGUGCGUAGGCGGCUUCUUAAGUCGGAUGUGAAAUCCCUGAGCUUAACUUAGGAAUUGCAUUCGAUACUGGGAAGCUAGAGUAUGGGAGAGGAUGGUAGAAUUCCAGGUGUAGCGGUGAAAUGCGUAGAGAUCUGGAGGAAUACCGAUGGCGAAGGCAGCCAUCUGGCCUAAUACUGACGCUGAGG
This 749-nucleotide ribosomal RNA is filed under the name uncultured bacterium. RNAcentral's name for it is "bacterial SSU rRNA". It matches the Rfam family "Bacterial small subunit ribosomal RNA", at positions 8 to 751 of the family's 1533-position model. The record is from RNAcentral.